UGGGGAAUCUUGGGCAAUGGAGGAAACUCUGACCCAGCCACGCCGCGUGCAGGAAGACACCCCUACGGGGCGUAAACUGCUUUUAUACGGGAAGAAGGCACUCCUCGGGAGUGUUUGACGGUACCGUACGAAUAAGCACCGGCUAACUCCGUGCCAGCAGCCGCGGUAAUACGGAGGGUGCAAGCGUUGUCCGGAAUCACUGGGUGUAAAGGGUGUGUAGGUGGGAUUGUAAGUCAGAGGUGAAAGCCCACGGCCUAACCGUGGAACUGCCUUUGAUACUGCAAUUCUUGAGUCUCGGAGAGGUCACUAGAAUUCGUGGUGUAGCGGUGAAAUGCGUAGAUAUCACGAGGAAUACCAGAGGCGUAGGCGGGUGACUGGACGAGUACUGACACUGAGGCACGAAAGCGUGGGGAGCAAACAGGAUUAGAUACCCCCGUAGUCC
Molecule: ribosomal RNA, 442 nt
Filed under: uncultured prokaryote
Description: bacterial SSU rRNA
Rfam family: Bacterial small subunit ribosomal RNA
Source: RNAcentral